AUGGACGCUGGCGGCGUGCCUAAUACAUGCAAGUCGAGCGAACAGACGAGGAACUUGCUCCUCUGACGUUAGCGGCGGACGGGUGAGUAACACGUGGAUAACCUACCUAUAAGACUGGGAUAACUUCGGGAAACCGGAGCUAAUACCGGAUAAUAUAUUGAACCGCAUGGUUCAAUAGUGAAAGACGGUUUUGCUGUCACUUAUAGAUGGAUCCGCGCCGCAUUAGCUAGUUGGUAAGGUAACGGCUUACCAAGGCAACGAUGCGUAGCCGACCUGAGAGGGUGAUCGGCCACACUGGAACUGAGACACGGUCCAGACUCCUACGGGAGGCAGCAGUAGGGAAUCUUCCGCAAAGGGCGAAAGCCUGACGGAGCAACGCCGCGUGAGUGAUGAAGGUCUUCGGAUCGUAAAACUCUGUUAUUAGGGAAGAAUAAAUGUGUAAGUAACUAUGCACGUCUUGACGGUACCUAAUCAGAAAGCCACGGCUAACUACGUG
RNAcentral lists this ribosomal RNA (496 nucleotides) under uncultured bacterium. RNAcentral describes it as "partial 16S ribosomal RNA". It matches the Rfam family "Bacterial small subunit ribosomal RNA", at positions 29 to 507 of the family's 1533-position model. The record is from RNAcentral.